GACGAACGCUGGCGGCGUGCUUAACACAUGCAAGUCGAACGGAAAGGCCCUGCUUGCAGGGUACUCGAGUGGCGAACGGGUGAGUAACACGUGGGUCAUCUGCCCUGCACUUCGGGAUAAGCCUGGGAAACUGGGUCUAAUACCGGAUAGGAGCCAUUUUUAGUGUGAUGGUUGGAAAGUUUUUUCGGUGUAGGAUGAGCUCGCGGCCUAUCAGCUUGUUGGUGGGGUAAUGGCCUACCGAGGCGGCGACGGGUAGCCGGCCUGAGAGGGUGGACGGCCACAUUGGGACUGAGAUACGGCCCAGACUCCUACGGGAGGCAGCAGUGGGGAAUAUUGCACAAUGGGCGCAAGCCUGAUGCAGCGACGCCGCGUGGGGGAUGACGGCCUUCGGGUUGUAAACUCCUUUCGCUAGGGACGAAGCUUUUUGUGACGGUACCUAGAUAAGAAGCACCGGCUAACUACGUG
Molecule: ribosomal RNA, 465 nt
Filed under: uncultured bacterium
Lineage: Bacteria
Description: partial 16S ribosomal RNA
Rfam family: Bacterial small subunit ribosomal RNA
Source: RNAcentral